AUUGAACGCUGGCGGCAUGCCUUACACAUGCAAGUCGAACGGCAGCACGGGAGCAAUCCUGGUGGCGAGUGGCGAACGGGUGAGUAAUAUAUCGGAACGUGCCCAGUCGUGGGGAUAACGUAGCGAAAGCUACGCUAAUACCGCAUACGAUCUAUGGAUGAAAGCGGGGGAUCGCAAGACCUCGCGCGAUUGGAGCGGCCGAUAUCAGAUUAGGUAGUUGGUGAGGUAAAGGCUCGCCAAGCCGACGAUCUGUAGCUGGUCUGAGAGGACGACCAGCCACACUGGGACUGAGACACGGCCCAGACUCCUACGGAGGCAGCAGUGGGGAAUUUUGGACAAUGGCGGCAAGCCUGAUCCAGACAAUGCCGCGUGCAGGAUGAAGGCCUCGGUUGGUAAACGUU
Molecule: ribosomal RNA, 401 nt
Filed under: uncultured bacterium
Lineage: Bacteria
Description: bacterial SSU rRNA
Rfam family: Bacterial small subunit ribosomal RNA
Source: RNAcentral